Molecule: unclassified non-coding RNA, 159 nt
Filed under: uncultured Helotiales
Lineage: Eukaryota; Fungi; Ascomycota; Leotiomycetes; Helotiales
Description: sequence contains ITS1
Source: RNAcentral
CAGAGUUCGUGCCCUUGUGGGUAGACCUCCUCACCGUGUGUAUUCUACUCUUGUUGCUUUGGUAGGCCGCGUAGCCACCGGGUCCGGCCUGGUGAGCGCCUACCAGAGGACCCAAUAACUCUAUAUUGUAUUUGUCGUCCGAUCACUAUAUAAUAGUUA